GGGUUUGAGCCACUCCGAAACAGAGGACACGAGGCUGUGCACUCCCUUUCCUCAAGCAGUUUUCUUCCUUCCAGCCGGAGUCCAUGCCAUCCGUGGAACUGAUUUCUGGGUGCCUGAUUGUUGAUGAGGACACGGGGAUGGAGGGGCUUACCAAUCUGGGCUUCUUCCAGAGCUGAAAACUGAUUACAAAUAUGAAACAGAUUUCACUACUGGACUUGAACUCCACAUUAGAAAACAACAAGAUCCUCAAAAUAAUUGAAAAGAUUCUCAACAAAGAGCAAAUGCAACAUGAAUGGCAGGAUGUCAAGAAGAAAACACAAUGAAAAAAGGAGCCCAAGGAUUUGAGAGAAGGUUUGAAGCAUAAUGAUGGAGGAAUAUCACUCUGAGGAGAAAUCAAAAUUCUUUCUCCUCCUGAUUCACCUGAAUGUGCAGUGCCCAGUGAAAGUGAUAAGAGAGGAUGGUGUUUGUGACGAAUCCACAUGCACUGAAGUUGUCACCUUUCUAAAACAGAUGCCAUUGUAGGUGCUUUUCCAACUCUCUUCCCUGUACGCACAGUGUGGUAUACUUUGGCAGGCCUUCCAUUUCAUUUUUAACCCUCAAAUGCGCUGAAACAAAGCUGAGCAUACAGUACAAAUGGAAUGCAUAGAAGUGAAUAAAUGCAAAGAGAAACAUUUAUUUAGCCUCAGGAGGAUAGACAAAUAGGUCUUUCUUAAAUUGGUAUAUAAGUAUAGAAUAUUGAGUCAUUCUUUAUGUGAAUAUUUACUCAUUUUAGAGAAAUUUUCCAAUCUGGAGGAUAUUCCUUUUCUUGCCAAUAAGACACAGAAGGAAAAUUUAAAAUAUUUGCAGCUCUUCCUCUGGAAUUUUGUCCUAAUUUUGUCUCUCUCUCUCCCCUUGAUAUCUCUUGCUAUGAAUAUCAUUCUUGUAUUUUUCUUCCAUUUAAUCAAGGAAACAUAGUGAUUAUCAAAGACAAACAGACAAGAUCAAAACAGUGCUUGACCUUUCUCCACGAAAUGCUUCCAAACUUGUUUAGAUAUAAUGCUCUUGAAGGCAAAACGCAUGUCUAUUUUAUCUUUCUUGGUCUAGCACAUAUUAGGUACACAGUAAAUUAUCUGAGUAUACUAAUGAACAACAAAACAGGAAUGGAUGAGGAAAGUAGUUGCUUUGUUAAGGCUCUUAAAAAAAGAUUUAUAGAAUUUGGAAAUGGUCCCACUUUAUUUCCAAAAGAAAUUUUACUUUCAAAUUUAAAAAAAAAUUCACCCAAAUGAGAUUUUUGGGGAUUUCAUGUGAUUAACUCUUUACAUUAUCAUGUACUAAUUACACAGAAAUCUGUUUAUGUAAACACAGUGAAUUCAUCAUAACACUAGAAUAAGUCUACAAAUAGUGCAUGUCAAAUUAGGUUAUAAUCACUUUCAAGGGACGUGAUUUCCUAGUUAAACAGAUUCGUUUACAUCUUGUGAAAUAAAAAAUAAGUGAAAAUAACUAUAUAGAAUCAGCUUACAGCUGGACAGAUCUUCUUGGCAAUGGUCCAGGCACUGAGUGGGGAAAGCCCCACCAGCUGAGGAAGGCUCAGGAUGCCCAGCAUGACUUUGCAGCUCGGCCUGGAAGGGGGCCUUUGGCUGCUGUCCGGGAUGCACUUCCUGUCUCUGGCUGGCUGGGGGGUAGAUGGGCCACCUUAACCUUUAACAUGAGACUCUUGCUGGGAAGUGGCUGGGGUGGGGCAGAACGAGUAGAAUGGAAACUUGCUCAACAGAGGAAAAAACAAAGUUAGUUCAAUAUUUUCACCCUUAAGUAAAACCAUAAUAGAAUAAGUCAAGGCUCCUCUAACCUAAACACAAAUAAUUGAAGCUAGCAUUUGAAUCAUAAGAUUGAGAGUCAGGGUUUGAGUACCAGGGAUCAUCUGGGCCGACCCUUGUGAUAAAGAUGAAAAAACCAACCACAAAGCGAAGAGCAGCACCAAGCCUGAGACCAGUAACUUGUUUCCCCAUUUCUGGUGCUCAUUUGUGAGAUAACUGAAACUCAUCCUUUCAAGAAGGAUGAUUUCUCUUAAAUGCCGCUCAUUUUGAUGCAGAUCUUUAAAAAGUACAUUUCACAUCAUCUUGAUGUUGGCAACACUUUCUACACUGUUCCCUUAUUUCAAAGGCAGAAGGGUGUCAUUGUAAACCUCAGUUAUUACUGGUAUUGUACCAUGGUGGUGCUCUCUGGCUAAUUGUCAGAGCAAUUAGCUAAGCUUCGUAAGCAGGGUGCAUUUGGUUAUCUUUCCUGUGUCUUGUCAUAUUCACCUACUACUUAUUUUUGUUAAUUACAAGAAGUCACCAAAACAGUGAUUUUUUUUAAACUCAUAGAUUCCGUCUUGGAGGGAGCUCCAUGUUUCUGGUAUUGAGGAAAGUUGGUUUUGUUUUUAGUUUAAUUGACACUCAUUUUUGUUCAAAAUAUAUUUGUUUAAUACUUACUCUGUUCAGUGCUUUGCAUACAUUAGCUUCUUCCCGCAUCCCAUUGGUUGAGUUGUCUUGGGCAGAGCUUGUGAAUGAGCAAAGAGCAAAGUAUGCCCUAUAAGCCAAAUCUGGCCUCCUGCCUGGUUUUGCAAAUAAAAUUUUAUUGGAACACAGUCACACUCAUUUGUUUGCCUAUUGUCUGUGGCUGUUUUUGCACCACGGCCGAGCUGAGUAGUUGUGAUAGCGACUCUAUGGUCCAUAAAGACUAAAAUAUUUUCAAUUUGGCACUUAACAGCAAAUUUUGCCAACCCAUGGUCUUGAGGGUAAACACUGGAUCAUCUAGCUGGCUUGAUAAGAAAGCCAAAUAAAAUAGCUGACACUAAACUGUCGCCACACGGAGCCCUGCUCAUGUUCACGUGUUUGUGGCCAUGAGUCAUAACCACAGCACUAAACAGUGAGGAGAGAACCAGAAAAAUUCUUGUCUUCUGAGAAAUGCAAAGCUUUGCCAGAUUCAUUUAAAUGAUUUUCAAACCCUGUUCCUAGAACCAUCCCUAAUCUGUACUAAUACUACGAAUGUGUAGCUUUUGCCUUACAAAUUUAUUGUUAUUUCUUUUUUUUCAGGAAAAAGGUAAUUACGCUAUAAACAGAGGACUGACAACUAAUUUCAGUCAAGGCAAAAUUAAUACAAAGCAAGCAGAUAAUUUUAGUCAUGUGAAAUUAAAAUAGAUAUAUUUUAAUGACAUUCUAAAAAAUCCCACUCUAAUUUUUUGCUCUUUGUUUUCCCCUACCUUCUCCGGUUUUCUUGUGACCCCCCUACUCUGUGUAGAUAGCAAGGUGUGCUAAUUUAGGUGAACUACCAGCUGGCAGCUCUCACUGCCCUCACCGCUCCUUCCUCCUGGCCCCACUGUGAUCUUUGCGUGGACAGCUGCUUCUUCCCUCGCCUUCUCAGGGGCUCCUCUGUGCAAAGAAAUAGGACCAUCUGAGGGAAGGUGGUCACUGCCCAUCCCUUAAAUUUUCAAAUUGUCAUUGAUAUGAAUAAGAGCUGGUAUGCUAAAUCUGUCUCAGAGCUUCAAGAAUUCAAAGGUUAGUGGUAUUGUGGACGUGGGUGUGCCCAUGUGCAUGUUUUCUGGGGGGAGAUGCCAACCUUGCUGUGUUCUGUCACUCCAGGAGCAUAUUAAAUACGCAUUCAAUGGCAGCAGCACCUUGAGAUGUUCUCUCCAAAAUUAUCACCUGUCUUCUGAAAACCAUAACCCUAAAAAUAUUGAUUGGUUAAAAGGCAGAAUCUGAAGGAAUGAGUCAGUGCCUCUGUGAAUUAUCCUAAUCAAAUAAAGAUAGUAUUAACCUAGAUGCUUGCUGAUCUGCCAGUAUUUGGUUUGAAAUGUAGGCAUCUCAACUGAAGUUAUGUGUUUCAUUCUUUUGAAUAUUUCUCCCAGACAUUUAAAUACAUUACCACUAAGCCAGAACCAAGAAAAGCAUAAAAAGCAUUUUAGGGAAUAAAUUCAGCAAGUUUCCAUUUGUACCAGAUAGUAAAAUUAUUGACAUGCAUUAUGAGGCAUGUGUAUUUUUCAGCCUGUCACGUUUCAAUCACAUGCUCAAGGUGGAGUAUUUUGGCUGCCAGGGGUUAUGCGGAAAGGUCUCAAACCAUUUAGGUAGUAGUGCUUCCUAAUAAACAGAGAAAUUACAAGUCGCCCAGCAUAGCUUUUUAGGCAAGUCAGAAGAAAAGCUUCUUCCAUUAAUUAUGCUAUGAAUGUAACAUCAGUGAAGGGUAGCCAGCUAAAUAUAAGAUGAAAGGACUGGUAGGGAUUCUCUCCACUGAAUUGUUGAGCUUUACGCAAUUUUAUUUAGAGGCACUUCCAUUACUAAGGAGGCUAUGAGUUGAUCGACUGUGUCUUAGAAUUAACUACGGUGGUGAAAACACAAAUUGUAAACCAGCGUGAAGUCACAAAGGGAAGGGAGGAAAGAGAAGCAGCAGAAGUCAGGGACUCAUAUGUGCUCUUCAUUUUCCUGUACGGAAGUAAGUAUUGGACCAGCUGCCUGGAGUCCGACAUCCGCCCGAGCAAGCCUAAUUACUGUUAGGCAGAGGGCCUAAUGAGAAGUGCCACGUUCACGGCCUUCCUUUCUGUUCUCGUUUGCUUCUGUUUUCAGAGGAGUCUGGCGGUUUGUUGGAGGCAAACGAUUACGUUCCCUCUGCUCAGCACACUAGAAUGACAUAUGGGUGGUAAGGAAAGGGAGGACCCGGAUGGGAAAGUGUCUUGGCCAGAGACCGUUUGUGUGGGCCACCGAGCAAGGUUCCAGCAUCAUACUGCUGUCAGAGUCGGGGCCGGGGCUGAGGGCUCGCCUAAGGCCUCACCGUGGAUGAGGCCUUUUGUGGGCGCUCCCCAUUCCUCCCAGGGAGUGUCGGUUAUGGCAUUCGCAGGGCCCCCUGGUCCUUGCCAGCAGAGACUAGCACAGAUCAAAAUUAAGCUUUAAACUGCACAAGAGAGAAUACUUUUUUCUUUUUUCCCGAUUUCUUGGCUGAUAUUUCUCAAGAUUCGGGGAAGAUUCCGUUUCCCACAAAUGGCCAUGACAGAAUGUCCUCAGGAGAUCACUCAUCACAGUCUGCAUAGACUAAUGUUGUGUACAUCCGUGUGUUUCCCAUGGUGACAUCAGGACAUAUUUGGUGACUAAACCAAUAAUUGUUAAAUAAACCCUGAAGACAUUUAGCUUUUAUUUGCUUAUCUCUUUCAGUUUACCAAGUACUUCUACAACUUCUGGCUCUUUGCUAUUUAGAAGAUAAACCCACACAGCCGGGCAAAAUUUGUUACUAUUAACCUCAUUUGAGACAUGAGGAGACAGACUCCAUGGCAAAGCUCUGGCACAAGUUAGGUAGCUGGUUUAACUGCAAGAUUCUUAACUCAAACUCUUUAUUCUAGAUUUGUAAGCAUUAUGCUAAGUUUCUUGUCAGUGUAUAAAAUCUUCAAAACCUUUAUCCAGUGCAGAAAUCAUGUUUUCUAUUGGCUGUUUAACUCUGGAGACCCCACAUCAGAAUAAAGCCAGUUGAGAUCCCCAAAGCAUAUCCAGAUGGCUAGGAGUAGUGGUGUGCUGGAGCUGACUCUGCUCCCAAGGGCCAGUGGAGCCCAUCCCUUUCACUUCCAGGUUCAGUGAUACUAUGUUAGUACCCUGAAAUGACAGGAGUGUUCACACCAUACAAAUCAGCAACACUACAAGUCAGAAGGAGCUCGUUACUCACCUCCCAGAAGAGAUGGUUGUCAAACAUUAUACGGUUAGAAAUCUGGGCACCCAGGCAAAGAACUUGCAGCAGGUUUCUUGAUGCUUAGAAUACAUUCCAAUGUGCUUCAUUUGUAAGACACCAGGUUUCUUGGGGAAUUCUUUUAAGUACAUCCUUUUACAGUCUUUUGAAACUGCACAUAGGAGAACAUCAGAAUAUCUUCUCCAAGAGUGAGAGUGAGGUCUGGGAAUAAAAUUAGCUGCUUGUUUAAGGCUAUGGGUGUUUGUGAACAUGCAAGUGUGCUUUAAAUUACACGUAAUUUUAAACAACUAUGUAAAAAGAGUUUUAAAAGUUUAAUGGUGCUGAACCAAGAAUAAGAAUUAAAAAUUGAAAAGAAAAUACGAAACUAUACCUUGUUUCUCUGCUUUAAAAAAUAAGUUUCCUUCUCAUUUGCAAUUAAAAUGCAAGGAUUUGCAUAAAAUGUAAAAUUAGAGAUAAUUGAACUACAGUAGCUAUAAAAAUGGCUUUUCCACUUAAAAAAUAAAUCAGAUGUCCACUAAGAGGGUAUAAGAGCCUUCUCCCUCAGCCCCCCUCCGCCAUUUGAGUCUCUGGUAUUUUUCACACUUUUAUAGCUGAUUUUUAUUGCCACACAGUCCACAGAGUUUGUGGCAGCCCUGAGACAGCAGCUGGCCCAGGCAGGCCUGUUAACUCUGGCAUGUUAAGGACCGUUCAGAAGAUUUCAAAUCCAGCCCCAGCUCCCAGGUCAGUAGAUCAAAU
Molecule: long non-coding RNA, 6417 nt
Organism: Manis javanica (Malayan pangolin)
Lineage: Eukaryota; Metazoa; Chordata; Mammalia; Pholidota; Manidae
Source: RefSeq, a predicted model, not a curated record